CUGAUUACUUUAAGCUUAACCUCCAUCUUCAAUGGAAUUCAGAGUCAGUUCACGCACAAUGUCUGCGGCUGUGUUACAGGGAUUUAUUUUUGAUAGUUUUGUUAUUAGGAAAAUAUUAAAAUGGACUGGCCUGUAUUUGCAGCAAAUUCGCAGGAUGACUGGUGUCUAAAUACUCUGGCUGAUUAUCGGUGAACAAGUUGUCAAUACCAUGACUGAAUUAUCUCCAGGAUUUUAUUGUCACGGUGUUUGAUUUCCUGAUGUCAAUUCUCUGAGGUAAUUUUAGUUUUCAGUUUUAAUAUUAAACUGAUGAUCAAUGACAAAUUUAAAGAGUAAAUCAAUUAUUUAAAAAAUAAUUAGAAUUUUUAAUUACUACUGACAAAGUUCAAAUAUUUGUUUAUAAAUAAUUUCAAAGUCAAUACCAUAAUUGAUAUGACGUCAAACCAUCAAACCAGGUAAUUAUUUUAUUAAUAAAUCGCGUUACAUACGUAUACAAUUUUCAACUUCCGGUGACUGAUGUAUUGAUUACUCUAAAUCUGAAACAAUAAAAAUUUCUAUCAAAAUAAGGAGACGUGUAAUUAAAAUUGAACACCUUUCGGUAUCUUCUACACCAAAAAAUCUUAUGGUGUCAUGGUAACGCCAGACCACGUGUCCACCUAACGGAAAUUCAAAUAAAAAUUUAAAAAAUUACUAUGGCCAUAGCAAAUUUUCUAUUAGUUAUUACAGUAAUUUUUGAUAAAAUAAAUAACCAGGAUAUGCAGGAUAAUUCAUUAACAUGACCUACUUUUAGCUGCUGGAGACGCUGACCCUUGCAAAAAUUAAUUAAAUGUUUCUAGUACUCAUGUGUCGGCACUCACUAGCCAAAUAUUUGAAGCACACAUGCAUUCAGUGCGCAGCUGCGAAAAAUUGUUGAAUUAUAUUUAGCGAUCGACGAUCGAUUAAACGACAAACGUCAGACUAGUAUACUUCAUAACUCUUUUGUAUUUUUUAGUUGUGACCUUAUUUUGUUAACCGAGUUUAUGUAAGUCUGAAAAUUUUAAUUUCGCUCUCAAUGAACGUCUGUGGUAAUAAAUAAAAAAAGAAAGUUAAUUAGUUAAUUAAUUAAUAUAAGAGAAUGAUAAAUUUGAGUGACAUGACAGUGACAUUUAUAAAUAAAAUAAUUGAUUACUUCCCAUAGGAAUGAAACUGGUGGGUUUAGAUUUAAUAUGAAAAUUCUCAGCACGUUGAUGAGGAUAUUUAUAAACCCGAUCAUCAAAGUAGAGGGAGAGGAUAAAACAAAGGGAAUUUAUAAAGAGUAACAGUGGUGAUAAUAAUAAUAAUCGUAGGUACGGAUCGUCUAAGGUCACCGGAAGGCACGUUCACCGUCCAUAAAAUAUAC
This is a long non-coding RNA of Microplitis demolitor, 1375 nucleotides long. RefSeq lists it as uncharacterized. The transcript is spliced from 3 exons. The record is from RefSeq and is a predicted model, not a curated record. NCBI's taxonomy places the organism in Eukaryota, Metazoa, Arthropoda, Insecta, Hymenoptera, Braconidae.